ACUCUGGAUAAGGCAUUCUAUUUUGUUGAUUCUGCUAAAAUAAAUACCUUAUCUGGAGGAG
Monodelphis domestica (gray short-tailed opossum) is the source of this 61-nucleotide microRNA precursor. Ensembl annotates it as mdo-mir-7386d. The record is from Ensembl. Lineage: Eukaryota; Metazoa; Chordata; Mammalia; Didelphimorphia; Didelphidae.